AACGAACGCUGGCGGCAGGCUUAACACAUGCAAGUCGAACGCACCGCAAGGUGAGUGGCAGACGGGUGAGUAACGCGUGGGAACGUGCCCUUCAGUUCGGGAUAACCCAGGGAAACUUGGGCUAAUACCGGAUACGUGCGAGAGCAGAAAGAUUUAUCGCUGAAGGAUCGGCCCGCGUCUGAUUAGCUAGUUGGUGAGGUAAUGGCUCACCAAGGCGACGAUCAGUAGCUGGUCUGAGAGGAUGAUCAGCCACAUUGGGACUGAGACACGGCCCAAACUCCUACGGGAGGCAGCAGUGGGGAAUAUUGGACAAUGGGCGCAAGCCUGAUCCAGCCAUGCCGCGUGAGUGAUGAAGGCCUUAGGGUUGUAAAGCUCUUUCGUCCGGGACGAUAAUGACGGUAUCUGGGGAAUAAGCAUCGGCUAACUCUGUGCCAGCAGCCGCAGUAAUAC
Molecule: ribosomal RNA, 450 nt
Filed under: uncultured bacterium
Lineage: Bacteria
Description: bacterial SSU rRNA
Rfam family: Bacterial small subunit ribosomal RNA
Source: RNAcentral